AUGAGAUAAUCACGCCUCUUGCACGCCAACGUGCGCCCAACUAAUCACAUGCAAAUUAAUUGGAGCACAACGCUAUCGUUUGACGCUUCCUAAUUUGUCCACUACUUAUUUUUAAGGAAUGCAAACUAUUUCUUUGGGUUACACAGAGGGGCUGUACAAAAAUUUAUUGGCAAUUAACACGGAGCAAAUUAGACGGUUCACUAGACAGUUCGAUUUAUAAGUAUGGGUUCUGACGCACAGAUUAUUCAUUCAUCGUCUGUAACCUAAUUGACACACGAUAUUAAUGUUUAAAAAUUAUUCCUCAGUGAAAAAAUCUUUCAUUUCUGUGUUCAUUUUGUUUAACUCUUUUUGGGGGUAGAAAUAUUAUAUUUGGGCAAUUUCACCUGAGAUUGGGGAGCAAUUGGACGAUUUUUAGACGUUUGUCAAAGUCACGGGAUGUCGAAAAAAUUGUGCGGUUGUCCUGUUUUAGAGUACUUGAAAAUUCCCGGAAAAUAUGUUUAGUGUGCAAACUGCAAAGAGCGAGUGUGUUCAAGUUGUGACCCGAGACAUUUCGUCACAACAAAUUCCAGAGAUGGUUAUUUUUAACCAAUAUUUCCAAACCAAGAAUAUAUCCCGUCUCUUUGGUGACGUUCAUAAUUAUUCUCCAGAGCACAUCUCGUGCAAGAUAAUAAAUGACGAUUGGCAUGGAUCAGCAGCCAAAAGGAACUGAUACUAAGUGCGUGUGCGACGUCGCGUCCAGUCCGUCCUUGUCACCGAGACGCGGAAUCUGCGGAAAUCCCUGCACCGCUGGCGUCAGUGAUCGCAAAUUAGUAUUCCAGGCUGCAGCCAUCGCAAAGGAUAAAUAUUCGCUCACGUCCGGCCACACGAUUAGAUCGAGAUGAGGCGUGAAACUGCUCUCUUCGCAUUGCUGCUGCUGCUGGUCGUCGUUGUCAGUGCCGCCCAGGCCAGGGCGCAGGGCAAGAGUAUCGAUGGCAACGUCAGGACGCCGGGCAACCAGCAGGCGCAGUGUGCCUUCUGCAACCCUUCAGGACCAAGGUCCUGCCCCAGCGGCUGCCGCUUCGACAGAAACAGAAACGCCUGCGUUCCCUCAUCAAAUUGUAGAAACUGCCGAUGCAGGUGACAAAAAUGAAGAAUCAUCUUUGUAAGCCUCUGUGAAUACCAUGAAAAUUUGUAAACAACUUUGUCAUCGUUAGAUCCUUAAUUUAUGAAAAUAAAUUUAUUUUAUUAAUAAUUCC
Molecule: long non-coding RNA, 1235 nt
Organism: Cloeon dipterum
Lineage: Eukaryota; Metazoa; Arthropoda; Insecta; Ephemeroptera; Baetidae
Exons: 2
Source: RefSeq, a predicted model, not a curated record